GGACGAGUCCGCGUCGCUGUUUCCUAUACUCCGGUAGCGCCGAAUUAUCGCGGCGUUUAUCGUUUUUGCCCGGAACUGUCGAAAAACAAUUUACGGACAACGGGGGGGAAAAAAAAACACCGAACCCGUCUUGUUUUCGCGCCCUUAUCGGCCACACUCGUUUGUAACAAUCGUAACGAUAAUACGGAUUAUUACCGUCACCACGAUUUUCAACACGCGUGUUACAACAACAAUACGAGACGAGUU
This is a non-coding RNA of Cinara cedri, 246 nucleotides long. The record is from the annotation of a GenBank genome assembly. Lineage: Eukaryota; Metazoa; Arthropoda; Insecta; Hemiptera; Aphididae.